Molecule: ribosomal RNA, 469 nt
Filed under: uncultured Allobrachymonas sp.
Lineage: Bacteria; Pseudomonadati; Pseudomonadota; Betaproteobacteria; Burkholderiales; Comamonadaceae
Description: bacterial SSU rRNA
Rfam family: Bacterial small subunit ribosomal RNA
Source: RNAcentral
UGAAUUGACGGGACCCGCACAAGCGUGGAUGAUGUGGUUAAUUCGAUGCAACGCGAAAACCUUACCACCUUUGACAUGGCAGGAAUCCCGAAGAGAUUGGGAGUGCUCGAAAGAGAACCUGCACACAGGUGCUGCAUGGCUGUCGUCAGCUCGUGUCGUGAGAUGUUGGGUUAAGUCCCGCAACGAGCGCAACCCUUGCCAUUAGUUGCUACGAAAGGGCACUCUAAUGGGACUGCCGGUGACAAACCCGGGAAGGAAGGUGGGGAUGACGUCAAGUCCUCAUGGCCCUUAUAGGUGGGGCUACACACGUCAUACAAUGGCCGGUACAGAGGGUAGCCAACCCGCGAGGGGGAGCCAAUCCCACAAAGCCGGUCGUAGUCCGGAUCGCAGUCUGCAACUCGACUGCGUGAAGUCGGAAUCGCUAGUAAUCGCGGAUCAGCAUGUCGCGGUGAAUACGUUCCCGGGUCUU